GUUUGAUCAUGGCUCAGAUUGAACGCUGGCGGCAUGCCUUACACAUGCAAGUCGAACGGCAGCGCGGACUUCGGUCUGGCGGCGAGUGGCGAACGGGUGAGUAAUGUAUCGGAACGUGCCCUAGAGUGGGGGAUAACGUAGCGAAAGUUACGCUAAUACCGCAUACGAUCUAUGGAUGAAAGUGGGGGACCGCAAGGCCUCACGCUCAUGGAGCGGCCGAUAUCUGAUUAGCUAGUUGGUAGGGUAAAAGCCUACCAAGGCGACGAUCAGUAGCUGGUCUGAGAGGACGACCAGCCACACUGGGACUGAGACACGGCCCAGACUCCUACGGGAGGCAGCAGUGGGGAAUUUUGGACAAUGGGGGAAACCCUGAUCCAGCAAUGCCGCGUGUGUGAAGAAGGCCUUCGGGUUGUAAAGCACUUUUGUCAGGAACGAAACGGUGGGGGCUAAUAUCCUCUGCUAAUGACGGUACCUGAAGAAUAAGCACCGGCUAACUACGUGCCAGCAGCCGCGGUAAUACGUAGGGUGCAAGCGUUAAUCGGAAUUACUGGGCGUAAAGCGUGCGCAGGCGGUUGUGCAAGACAGAUGUGAAAUCCCCGGGCUUAACCUGGGAAUUGCAUUUGUGACUGCACGGCUAGAGUGUGUCAGAGGGGGGUAGAAUUCCACCUGUAGCAGUGAAAUGCGUAGAUAUGUGGAGGAAUACCGAUGGCGAAGGCAGCCCCCUGGGAUAACACUGACGCUCAUGCACGAAAGCGUGGGGAGCAAACAGGAUUAGAUACCCUGGUAGUCCACGCCCUAAACGACGUCUACUAGUUGUCGGGUCUUAAUUGACUUGGUAACGCAGCUAACGCGUGAAGUAGACCGCCUG
This 868-nucleotide ribosomal RNA is filed under the name uncultured bacterium. Its description in RNAcentral is "bacterial SSU rRNA". It matches the Rfam family "Bacterial small subunit ribosomal RNA", at positions 11 to 875 of the family's 1533-position model. The record is from RNAcentral.